ACGGGUGAGUAACACGUAGGCAACCUGCCUGUAAGACUGGGAUAACUACCGGAAACGGUAGCUAAUACCGGAUAGCUGGUUUUCUCGCAUGAGAGAAUCAUGAAAGAUGGAGCAAUCUGUCACUUAUGGAUGGGCCUGCGGCGCAUUAGCUAGAUGGUGAGGUAAUGGCUCACCAAGGCGACGAUGCGUAGCCGACCUGAGAGGGUGAACGGCCACACUGGGACUGAGACACGGCCCAGACUCCUACGGGAGGUAGCAGUAGGGAAUCUUCCGCAAUGGACGAAAGUCUGACGGAGCAACGCCGCGUGAGUGAUGAAGGUUUUCGGAUCGUAAAGCUCUGUUGCCAGGGAAGAACGUCUUAGAGAGUAACUGCUCUAAGAGUGACGGUACCUGAGAAGAAAGCCCCGGCUAACUACGUGCCAGCAGCCGCGGUAAUACGUAGGGGGCAAGCGUAGUCCGGAAUUAUUGGGCGUAAAGCGCGCGCAGGCGGCUAUGUAAGUCUGGUGUAUAACCUCGGGGCUCAACCCCGGGUCGCACUGGAAACUGUGUAGCUUGAGUACAGAAGAGGAGAGUGGAA
RNAcentral lists this ribosomal RNA (577 nucleotides) under uncultured bacterium. RNAcentral's name for it is "bacterial SSU rRNA". It matches the Rfam family "Bacterial small subunit ribosomal RNA", at positions 102 to 666 of the family's 1533-position model. The record is from RNAcentral.